AUUAUGUCGCCACCUGUCAUCUUCUUUACCCAACCAAACAACUGCCUCUCUCUCUUCGCUUCUCUCAUCUCUAUCACCAUAUCCAAUCACCUCUCUCUCUAUCUUUUUCUCUCUCAUCUCUAUCGUCAGAUCCAGAUCUGAAAAUUACGAAGUCGUGAUGGUCUAUUACCGGCGGCGAAACAAUAGAGGAGGAAGAUUGGAGGCAUCACUAAAUCUGAA
This 219-nucleotide long non-coding RNA is filed under the name Nicotiana benthamiana. RNAcentral describes it as "long non-coding RNA (NBEN_LNC016998)". The record is from RNAcentral. Lineage: Eukaryota; Viridiplantae; Streptophyta; Magnoliopsida; Solanales; Solanaceae.